Molecule: long non-coding RNA, 589 nt
Organism: Hipposideros armiger (great roundleaf bat)
Lineage: Eukaryota; Metazoa; Chordata; Mammalia; Chiroptera; Hipposideridae
Exons: 3
Source: RefSeq, a predicted model, not a curated record
GUCAAUGAAGUGGAGGGUUUAAGGAUUCAUCAAGGCGGGAGGAGCUGCUCGGUCCUCAUCUGCUUCUGUGCUAAUGGGUUAGAUCAGAGAACUCAUCAUCCAUCUUAUACAUGGAGAUGCCCUGAGUAUUUACCCUGGAAAUGCUGCUGAGGAGUCCUUCACCGGUGACAACGCAUACUUACGGGACAAGUCCUGAGACUUUUCUUCAAGAGUAUGGAGUUGUUGGCAUGCUAUCAGACAAUGCCUCAUACAGUGUUCUGAGUCAUGAGUCUGCAGAGGGCCAGCAUACCUGACGCCCCGUGAAAGGUCGGCCACGUGGCCUCUCUGUAAUCGCUCCUCGGACUAAGGAAAGAAUAUUUGUGUAUCCAGACCACCCCACAGAUGUGACCAGACCUCCUGGAGUCCAUCCUCCAGACCACUUGGCAUCCAUCAAUCAGACCACCUGACAGACCAACCAACUGUCCUGAACCAAUCCUAAGGCUAAGAAUUAUUUGUUAUUCUCAAGAACGGACUUGUUACUAUAAGGACCUUUCUUUCUUGUUCAGAAUACUUCUGGGUUUUUGCCAAAUUGUAUUUCUGGUUUGCAAAC